RNAcentral lists this non-coding RNA (29 nucleotides) under Rattus norvegicus (Norway rat). The record is from RNAcentral. Lineage: Eukaryota; Metazoa; Chordata; Mammalia; Rodentia; Muridae.
UAGCACAUCUUUAAGGCGAUCUGGUGAGA